This is a non-coding RNA of Gossypium raimondii (Peruvian cotton), 78 nucleotides long. NCBI's taxonomy places the organism in Eukaryota, Viridiplantae, Streptophyta, Magnoliopsida, Malvales, Malvaceae. The record is from Rfam.
AGCGCCGCUAAAGAUCAUGAUCUUUAGCGGCGUUUGUGGGAAAAGCGCCGCUAAAGAUCAUGGUCUUUAGCGGCGGUU